AAAAGCUCUAAUCAGCAGAACUCGCUGACAUGGAUUUUAAAAAUGGUUGUGCGCAUUGUGGCUGCUUUGGAAGAGGUCGUGUAGUUUUGUCUGAGGCAUCCUUGGUUCAGGAGGAAGAGAAGACACAGAGAGGAAAGGUGUCCAACAACAAGUAAAAUUAUUUUUCUGGAAUCUGUGAUUAGUCUCUGGCUGGUUGAUGCCGCCCAAUUGUGAUCAGCUUCAAGGGCAGUACAGAAGAGCAGUGAAUGGACAGACGUUUUCACCAGAAUAUCUGGGUUCAGAUCUUGGCUCUACCACACAGACUACCUCCAUGAUUCUAGAAAGUUACUUAAUCUCUCUAUGCCUUGGUUUUCUUUUCUAAAAAAUGGAAAAUAAUAAUAAUAAUAAUACCAGCCUUUUAAGGGUUCAGGUAAA
Long non-coding RNA from Suricata suricatta (meerkat), 414 nucleotides. RefSeq lists it as uncharacterized. Lineage: Eukaryota; Metazoa; Chordata; Mammalia; Carnivora; Herpestidae. The record is from RefSeq and is a predicted model, not a curated record. The transcript has 3 exons.